RNAcentral lists this long non-coding RNA (272 nucleotides) under Bos taurus (domestic cattle). RNAcentral's name for it is "long non-coding RNA NONBTAT018306". The record is from RNAcentral. Lineage: Eukaryota; Metazoa; Chordata; Mammalia; Artiodactyla; Bovidae.
AAAGAUACUCCCACAAUUUUAAAUUGUACCAAAGAAAAUAACCCAUCUCUAUGGAACUUAUUUCAUACACACACACAUACCCAUGAAUCAUACUUUUUAAUGCCCUUUUUGUACCUUUUUUAGUUUUUCACAUUAUUUACAAUGAAAAUAAUACAAACAUAUACCAGCAACCUCUUCUGCUAAUUUUAAUUCAACCCUGUAAUGCAACCCACCAUUGGCCCAUAUAGUAAAUAAAAUUUGUUCAUUGAGUUAGUAGAUAAUUUAUAAUUUUU